AGAGUUUGAUCCUGGUUCAGAGUGAACGCUGGCGGCGUGCUUAACACAUGCAAGUCGAACGAGAACGGGCCUAGCUUGCUAGGCUGUCAGCUAAGUGGCGGACGGGUGAGUAAUGUAUAGUUAAUUUGCCCCUUAGAGAGGGAUAACAGUUAGAAAUGACUGCUAAUACCUCAUACCCCUUCUACCUUAAUGGUAGUUGGGAAAUGUUUUUUCGCUAAGGGAUGAGACUAUAUGGUAUCAGGUAGUUGGUGGGGUAAGAGCCUACCAAGCCAAUGACGCCUAGCUGGUCUGAGAGGAUGAUCAGCCACACUGGAACUGAGACACGGUCCAGACUCCUACGGGAGGCAGCAGUGGGGAAUAUUGCACAAUGGAGGAAACUCUGAUGCAGCAACGCCGCGUGGAGGAUGACGCAUUUCGGUGUGUAAACUCCUUUUAUAUGGGAAGAUAAUGACG
Molecule: ribosomal RNA, 453 nt
Filed under: uncultured Campylobacterota bacterium
Lineage: Bacteria; Pseudomonadati; Campylobacterota
Description: bacterial SSU rRNA
Rfam family: Bacterial small subunit ribosomal RNA
Source: RNAcentral